RNAcentral lists this RNase P RNA (454 nucleotides) under Microcystis sp. Its description in RNAcentral is "RNase P RNA component class A". It matches the Rfam family "Bacterial RNase P class A". From Rfam's summary of the family: Ribonuclease P (RNase P) is a ubiquitous endoribonuclease, found in archaea, bacteria and eukarya as well as chloroplasts and mitochondria. Its best characterised activity is the generation of mature 5'-ends of tRNAs by cleaving the 5'-leader elements of precursor-tRNAs. Lineage: Bacteria; Bacillati; Cyanobacteriota; Cyanophyceae; Chroococcales; Microcystaceae. The record is from RNAcentral. RNAcentral also lists the same sequence under 2 other names.
AGAGUUGGUCUAGAGGUUGCGGGAUCAUUUUAUCAAUGAUUCCGAGGAAAGUCCGAACUCCCGAAAGACCACACUUGCUGGAUAACGUCCAGUGCGCGCGAGCGUGAGGAUAGUGCCACAGAAAAAUACCGCCCCUUUUUUCAGUAAUCAGUAAACAGUAAUCAGUAAACAGUAACGAAAGUAAAUUCGCUGAUAACUGAUAACUGAUUGGGGGUAAGGGUGCAAAGGUGCGGUAAGAGCGCACCAGCAGUAUCGAGAGGUACUGGCUCGGUAAACCCCGGUGGGGAGCAAGGUGGAGGGACAAAGGUUGGUCUUUUUCCUGUCCCGUUUUUAGGAACCGCUUGAGGUAAUUGGUGACAAUUAUCCCAGAUAGAUAACCUCUAUUCCAACAAAGGUAAAAGCGAUUUUACUGCUGUUGGGAAAUACAGAAUUCGGCUUAUGUCUGACUCUCUCC